ACUAAGUUGUUCUUGUUCUCACACUCUAGUCUCCUGAUGUCUCAGAGAGGUGUGGGGAAAGAUACACACAUUUCUCAUGCCAGAAGAUGCAUGCCAGUGGAUCUAAAGAAGUCUAAUGUGAACAAAGAGAAGAGUCUUCAAAUAUCUGACUUAUAUAUUCUUCCUGGGAUUUUGGAUAUAAUCAGUGAAAACAACAGAAUGCCCUUUUAUUGGCUACUCAAACAGCCUGAGCUGUGUUUCCAUUCAUGAUGUAACUUUCAAAGUGAAUUUACAAAGCAACUGGAUUCACAUGCUGGUGUCCCAACCUCGUUUUAAUAGAAUGUUCUGCUUGUGGCCCUCACAAACUCCCCACUGCUUGCUGAGGUGGAUUAAAAGAUGCAAACUCACUGAAAUACGCCAAAGAAUAUAAUGGUCUCUACAGAAGAUCUGGCUGUGUCAACCAACAAAAAGUUCCAGCUGUGGCCGCUGUGUGGAACAAAGGGAACUCUUGGCUUAACAUGGAGUGCAUGCUUCUGACGUUCCAGUUCAGGCAAGAAAUAAAUAAAGCUAUUACAAAGCCCUUGACCAGAUGUGUCUGACAUAGUCUAAAAUCUGUUUGCACAGAAACUUCGCUAUCAACGUGGCUCAUUCUUAUAGCAACGGACAUCUGUUCCUAGAGGCAAAUGGGGGGUACAGUCCAUAAUCACAGUACAGACCUGAUCUGGCUAGCCUCUUUGAACUGCCUUUUCCCUGGGUGCUGUUGUUCACAUUAAUCUGUAUAGUCUCAGUCAUGUGUGGGUCAAUGAUUUAUUUAACACAGAAUCUGAAUGCUUCUGUGUCAUGGAAUCAAACUCUGUCCAAUAGUCAAAGACUUGAAAAUUUCCAUUUGUUUUCCAGAAGCAGUUGUACACAUUCCCCAUAGAUAACUUGACACUGUUAUGCCCUGUCACAGUUUACAUCUGUCUUUGACUUAUAUUGUUCCUAAGGUUGGCUAUUGAUCAUUGUUCUCAUAUGAAUCCUUCAUUACUCUAAUUGGAACCAUUUAUAAACACAUUCCUUGGACAGAUGACAAAAGGAUCCAUGAUGGACAACUUCUUAUUCAAAACAGCUGCUCAAUAUGUAAAUCAAAAGCUGUUAAAGAUUGUAUUGAGCUGAGAACAAUUAUACAAGGUUCUAGCCUGUUGUGAAUUAAAAUGACUGCAUUAGAGCUUAAGAGAUUUGUAAAGGGAGUCUUUCUUUUCAAGAAUGCCAGUCUAAAUUCAGCUCAGGUCGUUGACAAGUAAUAUCACAUGAAAAUAAUGUAAAAUAAAUCUAUGCUCUCAACUUUAUGUUAUUAAUAGAUAGAUGACAUCUUCCAAAAUCUCUAUUUACUGCAGCCAGUUCUUUGGUUGUCUUAUCUGAAAACUUAAAGACUGAAGGUCACAACUAGACUAAGGAACUUAAUUUAGAAUUUGUUUUAAGUUUUAGAAUUUAGAAAAUGUUCAUCAUUUUAGACAUAUUAUGAGAUUUUCUUUAAAUUACUCUUAGUUCUGCUUACAAACACACAGGAUUUCUCCUUCCCCUUUUUAUCUGAAACUGAAAGGCAAACUGAAUAAUCUGGAUUUCCUGCUGUGGCUCAGUGGUAAUGAACCCUACUAGUAUCCAUGAGGACGUGGG
Sus scrofa (pig) is the source of this 1635-nucleotide non-coding RNA. Lineage: Eukaryota; Metazoa; Chordata; Mammalia; Artiodactyla; Suidae. The record is from RefSeq and is a predicted model, not a curated record.